GACGUAGGGCGCGAGCGUUGUCCGGAUUUAUUGGGCGUAAAGAGCUCGUAGGCGGCUUGUCGCGUCAACUGUGAAAACCCGUGGCUCAACCAUGUGGUCUGCAGUCGAUACGGACAGGCUAGAAUUCGGUAGGGGAGACUGGAAUUCCUGGUGUAGCGGUGAAAUGCGCAGAUAUCAGGAGGAACACCGGUGGCGAAGGCGGGUCUCUGGGCCGAUAUUGACGCUGAGGAGCGAAAGCGUGGGGAGCGAACAGG
Molecule: ribosomal RNA, 254 nt
Filed under: uncultured bacterium
Lineage: Bacteria
Description: partial 16S ribosomal RNA
Rfam family: Bacterial small subunit ribosomal RNA
Source: RNAcentral